Molecule: long non-coding RNA, 124 nt
Organism: Gavialis gangeticus (Gharial)
Lineage: Eukaryota; Metazoa; Chordata; Crocodylia; Gavialidae
Exons: 3
Source: RefSeq, a predicted model, not a curated record
AUGCAGUUUUCUGCAGUAGAUAACCUGGUGUCUUCUUUCAAGAAAUCCUUCAAGCACUGUCCAGGUCAUAAGGUCUGGCACAGGGAAUCUGUCACCAGUCAAAUUGGGGACUCACAUGGCAUUA